AUGGCGAACCCAUCCACGAGCCUGAGGCCGUCGUGCGCGAUUCCCGGUGGCGGUAAGCCCACCUGCCUCUGCUCGCCGACGAACCACCCGGGCUCCUUCCGCUGCAGUCGCCACCGGAGCCCGCGCGGGCGGCCGCUGUCGUCCUCAGGCCGCGCCUCGCAGCAGGCCGCGUCAACGUCGGGCGCAAGCGCGACGGGGCGCGAGGAGGGGAUCAUCAGGAGCAGCGGCGUCGGCGCCGCAGGCAGGACCGCCAAGGGCCGGUCCGUCCUGCGCGCGCACCUGCUGCGGCUGGUCAGCCCUCCGUCCUCCGGCGGCAAUGACCGCCGCCGCUGCCGCGACUUCAAGCCCCGCCCGUCCAGGCUGGGCCGCCUCGCCGUGACCGCCGAAAGCGAGCAGGCGGCGCAGCGAAGCGAACAGAGAAAAGGGGAAGCGAACGGGCAGCGCGAGAGAAAAGACCUAGCCCGCGCCCCCGCAGCCGCCUCCUCUCCUGCCGCCGCCGCCUCGUCCUCGUCUCCUUUCUUGCCCUCAGCGCCGCCUCCUCUCCUUCCUCUCUCUCCCUCUGCGCCACCUCCUCUCCUCUUCAUGCGUGGCGGCGUCUCGUCAUCCCCAGCCCCCGCCCAUCCCCAUCCUCCCCAAUCCCCUCCUCCCGCACGAACCACCACCAAGAAGCCACGGGCUCCUCUUCUCCUCCCCAAUCGUGAGUCCUCACCACCAAGAAGCCAUGGGGGGACUGUGCCGCCGCUGGAAGAAAAAAGGAAGAGGAGGUGGCACAGGGGAGACCUGAAAAGAAGCAUCCAAGGAUCUAUGGCGGGGGAGACCAAGGAGACGCAGGGGAGGGGGUCCAAGGCCAAGCCUUCGCCGCCGGCGGCGACAAGCUCGUCCGGGUCGUCAUGGCCGGCGCCGGCAAAGCGGGAAGGCGGAGGUGUCGUGGACAAGGACCCCAUGGCCACCUUCGCCAAGAGCGUCCGCAUCUUCAUCCACUACUUCUCCGCCACGGACAUGCCUCCUGCCUUGCAUCUCCUUGUUCUUCCUCAUCCUUGUUUUUGCUAUGUUUUUGGGAACGGAAAGAUACAUAAGAUCAAUGCUGAAUACGUCUUCAAGGUGCUCGAUGGGAUUGAGUUCCUAGGGUUUUUAGAGCCCCUGAUCAAGCAUUUGAAGGUCUUGGAGUCUCCAUCCUGUUCUGUAUCCUUCUACUAUGUGUUGUUUUUUCUCUUCAGGCAUUUGCUUGCAUCAAAGAUUUAUUUCCACCGCCUAAUCGAUCAAAACAAUUGCUGGGGUAUUCGUGCAUCGUUGCAUGAUGUGCUUCUAACAUGUAUCAGCAACAAAACAAAGGUUUUCCUAUGUUCAGUGGAAAACAUUGUGUCCAACCUGCACAAAAAUGCCAAGAAGUCCUUCUCGGAGAUGAUUAAGGACAUGUACCUGCACUACAACGAGAGAUCUGGGCUGCUUCUUGUGGCUUCCAAACUUGAAAUUGUCACGACUGGACCCCCAGACCCCACUAAUCGGGUGACCAGGGAGGCGGAGCCACUGGACAGGGAGACGGGUGACGAGGACUACAAGGAGCCAACCACGGGCGGACCCGAUCAGAGAAGCUAUUCUUCCUCCUACUUUCCCCUUCCUCCCCAUCUCACCUGCUCCCGGCUCCUCCUCCUUCCCCAAAAUUCCUCAAGAGUAGAUCGGCCCGUAACAUCUGGUAUCAGAGGUCAGGACGCCCUGGAGACCGCGUAUCCAAAGCCUCGCUAUCACACCAAGCAGGCGCAGCAAGCGGCGCUGAUGGAGGAACAACUCGCGGCCCUGGCGAAGGCCGUCAACGACGGGCGGGUGGCCAACGACGCCCGCCCCGACGCGAUCCAGACCUCCCUCGAGCUCUGGCGACCGGCGGUGACGCACCUGCAACAUCAACUGGACGAGCUGCGUACACAGGUGGGGCGGAUCGCGCUGCAUCCAUCGCUCGCGGCACCUCCGGAUCCGAUCCCGGAGGAGGACGCGGUGGUGCGCCCGACGUCGACAGCAAGCAGAAGCGUCGACCGCAGCGACCACGGGCCCGACGGCCACGGCGAGAUUGACACCACCGGAGGCAUGGCACACGGGGUAGUCACCACCCAGUUGCCGCCUCCGGUCAAGGUUCUGGCGCGACCCUCCAUUUCACGAGGAAUGCGGCGCGAUGGCUGCAGCUACAUGAAUUGUGGAUUCGGGUCGCGAUCCUCCAUUUCAUGGGGAAUGCGGCGCGAUGGCUGCAACUACAUGAAUCUCGGGGCACUAGGCCACCUGCGGCUGCUGAAGAUCGACGCGGUCAAGAAGCUACUCAUGCUCAAGUCCCAGGAGCAAGAGGAGAUGAUCGCGUGGCAGACCACGCCACACACAGUGCGCUUGUUGGGACGAGUGGAAGGGCAAGAAGUAUUGAUCUUGGUUGACUUUGGUAGCUCCCAUAGCUUCAUCAGCGAGCAAGUGAUGGAGCGCUUGCAGACGAAGUGUGAAUGGAAGACUCAAGGGCAGUCUUUCAGUUCAGAUCUACGUGUACUAUCCUUGGGCUGCUAUGAUAUGGUGGUGGGCAUGGAUUGGUUGGAACAAUGCGGGCCUAUGUGGGUCGAUUGGGCGAACAAAGUGCUUCAAUUUCAGCACCAGGGCAAGUCGGUUCUGCUAACAGGGAUCCAACCUCGACUGAAAAUAGUGCCACAAGUUUCGGCAGUGAAGCUCAAAGCAAUGGAGGAUGCUGGAGAUGUAUUGCACUUUGUUGCCUUGUGUGCGAUUGCGCUAGCAGCAGCACCUACCACGGAUCAAGUACCACAAUCGAUUCAUGUUCGAUGCUGCAUUCUCGACGACAAGUACUCUGAAACGAAAGGUGCUCCGCGGCGAGUGAAGGUGCAGUGGGAUGGCCUGCCGCCCUCUCUUGCUACCUGGGAAGAUCCUGAGGAACUGCAGCAACGCUUCUCGGCGGCACCGGCUUGGGGACAAGCCGGCACACAAGGGGGGAGGAAUGACACGACUGGACCCCCAGACCCCACUGAUCGGGCGACCAGGGUGGCGGAGCCACUGGACAGGGAGACGAGUGACGAGGACAACAAGGAGCCAACCACGGGCGGACCCGGCCAGAGAGGGCCAGUUGUAAGGGGAUUAUCGAAAAAGACACAGAAACAAAUCGGAGAGAAGCUGUUCUUCCUCCUACUUUCCCCUUCCUCCCCAUCUCACCUGCUCCCUGCUCCUCCUCCUUCCCCCAAAUUCCUCAAGGAUUUUUUCGAAACUUUUAAACAUGAUUUCGACGAAGUUUUCUUUGAAUGUUGGUUUGAUGUGAUAUUCUUCCUUGUAACUCAAGGCGGCCUGCAGGCAAAGGACACAUCCGAACAAUCAUGGCUGCAUGAGUUUUCCAUGGACUGGAUAUCCAGGACAAGCCGUGACUGUCUCCCCAUAGCCAACCUUCUACUGCCCAUCAACUUCCACGUAAUCUUCUCACGGCCCUCAGCUGCUCAUAUAGCUAUACUUCGUCGUUCACCUAUUCACCCUCACCUCAUCAACAUCCCUUCCUCGUCAUAG
RNAcentral lists this ribosomal RNA (3531 nucleotides) under Triticum aestivum (bread wheat). RNAcentral describes it as "partial small subunit ribosomal RNA". The record is from RNAcentral. Lineage: Eukaryota; Viridiplantae; Streptophyta; Magnoliopsida; Poales; Poaceae.